CCUCGAUCGUUACUUUGGGUAACGUAAUCGGUAAAUAUUGACUUUUAUUGUGCGGAAAGAAUAACGUAGUUGUGGAAAGAAUAAAGUAAAACGAUAACCAUCAGUAGUUACUACUGCUCUUCAUCGCGCGUUGCGUUGGGCAAUAAAGUGUGUUAUUCAUUAAAACGAUAAAUUUCUCAUUAAAAUGUCCCAAGUGUGGAAGGGCUCUCUUGAUGAACUGUAUAACUGACAUACGCAUAAAAGGAUGGUUUAAUUUAAAAUGCGAUUUAAUUGAAUUCAAUAAGGGGCGAGUUUCAAAGGUGAACCAAGCAUACCACUUCGGAUGUAUAAUCAAAUAUACAUGCUUCGGUGCUUGUUUAAACAAUGUUUCUGUAGAAAGUAAAACCGCAUGGUAGAGUGGUAUUUUCGCCCAAAACACAUCGGGGUCAGCGGAUUUUUGUAUCCAAAAGCGAUAGCAAUGCGCUUGCAGAAUUCUCGAAGCCACGAAUCGGAUCGGAGCAAGUAAUUAAACUUUAUAGUAACUUCAAAUCAUUCAACUUAAUUUUUCCAUUACCAAAAGUUCAUUGAAAUAUGAAAUAAUUUUUCAUAAUUUUGUCUGCCGGAGUUUUCCAACUUCGGCUCCAGCUCCGGCAAAAUAUGCCGGAUCUCCGCCUCCGGUACUCCGGCGCACAGCUCUAAACGUGAUUUUUAGCAGUCAAAAGAACACGUGUAAAAUUGCACUCAAAACGGAAGAGUAAACAUCACGAAAAAAAUCGCCGAUGCUUUUGUUAAAAUCGACUUAAAACGUCCAAAUGAUGGGUGGACGGGCCUCUAGCUAAGCCCAUGUUGAUGUCAACAAUCCCCAGUGGUGUCAGGUAACGAAGUAAAGUUACUUCGUUACUGUACUUGAGUACUAUUUUUGAGAAGUCAGCAUGUAACAAAGUAAACUGUUUCUGGAGUACUUUUACUUGGAACGAAGUCGUUUUAAGAAGUAACGUUUUACUUCGUUAUUUUCAUUUUGUGGAAAAGUAUUUCGUUACUUUCUAACUUUUAUUUAAUUUUACAUGAUUUAUUUUAAUUUUGGGAUAGGUACAUGGGUCUGGGAUCUCUCGUUUGUGGCUUACGUAUAAGUAUUAUUUAUUUAAUGGAUUUCUUAUAUCUUCAACGCGGGGUCUGGAAAGUAGACCAUGCCGUGAAAUAUUGCUUAUUUAUAAUGCGUGUGCUGUUUUGUGUUGUUU
Paramuricea clavata is the source of this 1217-nucleotide non-coding RNA. The record is from the annotation of a GenBank genome assembly. Lineage: Eukaryota; Metazoa; Cnidaria; Anthozoa; Malacalcyonacea; Plexauridae.